GUGGGGAAUCUUCCGCAAUGGACGAAAGUCUGACGGAGCAACGCCGCGUGAGUGAAGAAGGUUUUCGGAUCGUAAAGCUCUUUCGUUAGGGACGAACGUGCUCUUUGUGAAUAAUGAGGAGUAAUGACGGUACCUAAAUAAGAAGCCACGGCUAACUACGUGCCAGCAGCCGCGGUAAUACGUAGGUGGCAAGCGUUGUCCGGAAUUAUUGGGCGUAAAGCGCGCGCAGGCGGGAUAUCAAGUCUGUCUUAAAAGUGCGAGGCUCAACCUCGUGAGGGGACAGAAACUGGUAGUCUUGAGUGGCGGAGAGGAAAGUGGAAUUCCAAGUGUAGCGGUGAAAUGCGUAGAGAUUUGGAAGAGCACCAGUGGCGAAGGCGACUUUCUGGACGAUGUCUGACACUGAGGCGCGAGAGCUAGGGGAGCGAACGGGAUUAGAAACCCUGGUAGUCC
Molecule: ribosomal RNA, 450 nt
Filed under: uncultured bacterium
Lineage: Bacteria
Description: partial 16S ribosomal RNA
Rfam family: Bacterial small subunit ribosomal RNA
Source: RNAcentral